RNA transcript from Coffea arabica (coffee), 2321 nucleotides. It is a transcript of the gene named vacuolar protein sorting-associated protein 36, with no coding region annotated. NCBI's taxonomy places the organism in Eukaryota, Viridiplantae, Streptophyta, Magnoliopsida, Gentianales, Rubiaceae. The record is from RefSeq and is a predicted model, not a curated record.
AUAAAACGGUUGUCGUUACAAAUUUUAGAAGUCGAUUACCGCGCGACAAUGGCCGCCGGAAACUACCUACCGACGGCGGAAUUAACGGCCAGUGGCCGGCCAGUUCUCUACCCGGGCGAAAUUGAAAGCAGUCUGCUCUCUUCCGUCGACCUUUUAUCAGAAGAAAACCCUAAUUUUCCCCACCUUAAAUCUGGUCUCCUCAUUCUCACCAAUCACCGCCUCCUAUGGCUUCCCAACUCCACCCCAGCUUCAUCUCCCACCCCUGUACAUAUCCCGCUUUCCGCCGUCUCCCACAUUUUUUCACUAAAAAAGUCGAUUAAAUCUGUAUUUUCAACCCCUAGGAUAAGAUUCCAGGUCUCAGUGACUUCCGAGGGGAGAGUAGACGAAAAGGGCUUAAGAUCGAUCGUAAUUACUUUGGUCUUGAGAGGAAAAUCGGACCCAGAGGCGUUUCUUGGGAAGUUUUGGGAGGCAUUGAAGGUGAGGGCUUGGGAGGAGAUUAAGGUUGGUGCAAGUGGAGCUGAGGCGGGGUCAAGUUCGGGGCCCCGGAGUGGAGAGGGGAGCUUGGCGCUGAGGGUGCCGGUGGUUGGAGUUGCAGGGAUUUUGAGGAAGGAGCAAGAAAUGUGGGAAAGUACUGAUAAAAGUUUGCAGGAUGCAUUUCAAGACCUGAAUGCUCUCAUGAGCAAGGCUAAGGAGAUGGUUAUGCUAGCUGAGAAAAUGAGGUUAAAGCUUCUCGCUGGUUCAAAUAAUCAAGCAACUGGGGCAGCCGAAGAUGAACUGGGUACCAAAGAAGAGAUGCAAGAUUGGUUAUUAAGUGUAGGUAUUGCAUCUCCAGUUACAAAAGAGUCUGCUGGUGCUUUGUAUCAUCAACAAUUAUCACGCCAGUUGGCAGAUUUUGUUAGGAUUCCCUUAGAGAGAGCUGGAGGAACAAUUAAUCUCAUAGAUGUCUAUUGCCUUUUCAACCGGGCUCGUGGCACAGAAUUAAUAUCACCUGAUGAUUUGCUUCAAGCAUGUUCUCUGUGGGAGAAGUUUGAUGUGCCGGUGAUGCUUCGGAAAUUUGAUAGUGGUGUUAUGGUCAUCCAGAAUAAGGCUCACAGUGAUGAUGAGGUAUUUGCUCGAAUUAGAUCCUUGGUGACAAAGCCUGAUGCUUUACAGAGUGGGGUCAGUGCUAGUGAUGCUGCAAUGACUUUGGGGGUUGCCCCAGCAAUGGCAAAGGAAUAUCUGCUUACUGCUGAGGGCAAAGGAUUGUUGUGCAGAGACAUAAGCCCAGAUGGAUUUCGGUUUUAUAUUAAUCUGUUUCAGGAUAUCAAUUCAGAUGACGUAUACUUGUACUUAGGUUGAUUAAACUGAUGACAAGUUCACAUCAGCAAAGAAAGACGUUAGGCAUGUUGUUGCAAGGAUAGAUUACAAAUUGGUUGAGAUGGGUAAAUAGAGUUGCCUUAACUUAAACAGCUAUUGGACAGCAAGAUAAAUAUUUCUGUGCAAUUACUCUGGUAUAGAAUAUUGGAGAAAGAUAUUAGAGCUACGUUGAGAAAUUUCUAGACAGAAAAGUUUUUAUUUUGAUUAGAAGAUGAUGAUCAUUUUGAAGCAACAGUAUUGAUGUAAUAGAGAGAGUCAAAAGUAUUCGAGGCCGUAAGGAAAUUGGAAGUUGAAAGGCUCCAGGAUUGAGUCUGUUCUGAAUGGUUUCUGUAUGUCCUCUGGAAAAGUCAAAUUUUGAUGAGUGAGAGACUAUAGUAUUUAUGUGGCAUGGAUUAGCACUAACUCUAUUUCCAGGUGAUGCAGGAUAACCUAGGUUUCCUUGGAAAGAUUCCAAAAGGCAUACGGAAGCUGCUUCUAUUUGGGAUUUUAUCAAAUUAAGUAGCCCAUUAUGAGCGAUCAUGAGCUUCAUUGGGCGGAGUUGCUUCUACAGAGGUCAAGUACGCUCCAUUCAUCUUCUUCCUGAUGAAAAUUGGAAAACUAAAAACGUGAAAUUGGUACAGCCUACUAUUUUCUUGCUUAUUGGAAAAGUGAAAGGUGUUAUCAACUUCCAGUGAGUGUCUUUUGCAUAACUACAUCUUUCAUGCUGAGGAAGACUUGCCUCGUGAAGUGACAUAAAUGUUGUACCCGAGUGUGUGAAGUUCUCAUAUGGUUUUGCAGUUGAAAAUCACUUGAAUAAUUUCUGAAUUGAGUUGUGAAAUGUUCCUUGUCUUAUUGAUGCCAGCUUCACCAUAGUUUUAAGUUGUAUGACCUUUCACUCAAGAAAGGAGUUUGCAACAGAAAUCUUUCUGGUUCUCGAUGAUUUCAGUGGGCAUUUAAAUGUUCUCCAAUCACAGGAGUUUGAUUUU